This 406-nucleotide ribosomal RNA is filed under the name uncultured bacterium. RNAcentral describes it as "partial 16S ribosomal RNA". It matches the Rfam family "Bacterial small subunit ribosomal RNA", at positions 30 to 526 of the family's 1533-position model. The record is from RNAcentral.
AUUGAACGCUGGCGGCAGGCUUAACACAUGCAAGUCGAGCGAGAGGCGGACGGGUGAGUAAUGUAUGGGAAACUGCCUGAUGGAGGGGGAUAACUACGGGAAACGGUAGCUAAUACCGCAUACCAUCGGAUGUGCAGAGAUGGGAUUAGCUAGUAGGUGGGGUAAUGGCUGACAUAGGCGACGAUCCCUAGCUGGUCUGAGAGGAUGACCAGCCACACUGCAACUGAGACACGGUCCAGACUCCUACGGGAGGCAGCAGUGGGGAAUAUUGGACAAUGGGCGCAAGCCUGAUGCAGCCAUGCCGCGUGUGUGAAGAAGGCCUUCGGGUUGUAAAGCACUUUCAGCGAGGAGGCGUUACUCGCAGAAGAAGCACCGGCUAACUCCGUGCCAGCAGCCGCGGUAAUUC